UGCGGCAGCGACACUGUGUGUUGUUGGGUAGGGGAGCGUUCUGUAAGCCUGUGAAGGUGUGUCGUGAGGCAUGCUGGAGGUAUCAGAAGUGCGAAUGCUGACAUAAGUAACGAUAAAGCGGGUGAAAAGCCCGCUCGCCGGAAGACCAAGGGUUCCUGUCCAACGUUAAUCGGGGCAGGGUGAGUCGACCCCUAAGGCGAGGCCGAAAGGCGUAGUCGAUGGGAAACGGGUUAAUAUUCCCGUACUUGGUGUUACUGCGAAGGGGGGACGGAGAAGGCUAUGUUGGCCGGGCGACGGUUGUCCCGGUUUAAGCGUGUAGGUGUGUGUUCCAGGUAAAUCCGGUUCACUUUAACACUGAGGCGUGACGACGAGGCACUACGGUGCUGAAGCAACAAAUGCCCUGCUUCCAGGAAAAGCCUCUAAGCAUCAGGUAACAUCAAAUCGUACCCCAAACCGACACAGGUGGUCAGGUAGAGAAUACCAAGGCGCUUGAGAGAACUCGGGUGAAGGAACUAGGCAAAAUGGUGCCGUAACUUCGGGAGAAGGCACGCUGACACGUAGGUGAAGUGAUUUACUCAUGGAGCUGAAGUCAGUCGAAGAUACCAGCUGGCUGCAACUGUUUAUUAAAAACACAGCACUGUGCAAACACGAAAGUGGACGUAUACGGUGUGACGCCUGCCCGGUGCCGGAAGGUUAAUUGAUGGGGUCAGCGCAAGCGAAGCUCCUGAUCGAAGCCCCGGUAAACGGCGGCCGUAACUAUAACGGUCCUAAGGUAGCGAAAUUCCUUGUCGGGUAAGUUCCGACCUGCACGAAUGGCGUAAUGAUGGCCAGGCUGUCUCCACCCGAGACUCAGUGAAAUUGAACUCGCUGUGAAGAUGCAGUGUACCCGCGGCAAGACGGAAAGACCCCGUGAACCUUUACUAUAGCUUGACACUGAACAUUGAGCCUUGAUGUGUAGGAUAGGUGGGAGGCUUUGAAGUGUGGACGCCAGUCUGCAUGGAGCCGACCUUGAAAUACCACCCUUUAAUGUUUGAUGUUCUAACGUGGACCCGUUACCCGGGUUGCGGACAGUGUCUGGUGGGUAGUUUGACUGGGGCGGUCUCCUCCUAAAGAGUAACGGAGGAGCACGAAGGUUGGCUAAUCCUGGUCGGACAUCAGGAGGUUAGUGCAAUGGCAUAAGCCAGCUUGACUGCGAGCGUGACGGCGCGAGCAGGUGCGAAAGCAGGUCAUAGUGAUCCGGUGGUUCUGAAUGGAAGGGCCAUCGCUCAACGGAUAAAAGGUACUCCGGGGAUAACAGGCUGAUACCGCCCAAGAGUUCAUAUCGACGGCGGUGUUUGGCACCUCGAUGUCGGCUCAUCACAUCCUGGGGCUGAAGUAGGUCCCAAGGGUAUGGCUGUUCGCCAUUUAAAGUGGUACGCGAGCUGGGUUUAGAACGUCGUGAGACAGUUCGGUCCCUAUCUGCCGUGGGCGCUGGAGAACUGAGGGGGGCUGCUCCUAGUACGAGAGGACCGGAGUGGACGCAUCACUGGUGUUCGGGUUGUCAUGCCAAUGGCACUGCCCGGUAGCUAAAUGCGGAAGAGAUAAGUGCUGAAAGCAUCUAAGCACGAAACUUGCCCCGAGAUGAGUUCUCCCUGAGACUUUAGGUCUCCUGAAGGAACGUUGAAGACGACGACGUUGAUAGGCCGGGUGUGUAAGCGCAGCGAUGCGUUGAGCUAACCGGUACUAAUGAACCGUGAGGCUUAACCUUACAACGCCGAAG
RNAcentral lists this ribosomal RNA (1759 nucleotides) under Salmonella enterica. RNAcentral describes it as "partial 23S ribosomal RNA". It matches the Rfam family "Bacterial large subunit ribosomal RNA", at positions 1201 to 2925 of the family's 2925-position model. Lineage: Bacteria; Pseudomonadati; Pseudomonadota; Gammaproteobacteria; Enterobacterales; Enterobacteriaceae. The record is from RNAcentral.